Molecule: RNA transcript, 2734 nt
Organism: Maylandia zebra (zebra mbuna)
Lineage: Eukaryota; Metazoa; Chordata; Actinopteri; Cichliformes; Cichlidae
Gene: gys2
Gene name: glycogen synthase 2
Source: RefSeq, a predicted model, not a curated record
GCACCUUUGCUAAUCAACUCUGCCUUGUUGAGCAGCAGCAGGGUGGUUCCUCACGGAGCACAUGUGCAUGCUAGCUAAUAUAGUUGACUCAGGAGUGAACAGCUUCCGCUGAUAUAAUAUCUGACUUUUCUGGAGUUUGACACUACUAAGGGGCGAAAACAGGCCUUAUUCUGUUUUUUGCGUGAGCGAGGAAAUUUCCCUGUAGAUGUUCAGUAGUUUGUAGAAUCCUUAUUUGGUUGUAUUGAGUGGAAUGUAAAGGUGUUUUUUAGUAUCUGCUCUAAAAACAACACUUUUAAGCUAACAUGGAGUCAGCCUAAAGCGGAUUGAUCACUUUAGGCCUUCACUCCUCAGAGAGAUAAAUAAAUAAAUAAAUAAAUAGUAAGACUGAGCACACAGCUGCAGUUUGUUUUUAUCACACACAACCCCAAAACCAAACCUUUCACCCUGACAUGAUUAUGGAAGGUAGGCGGGGUGGAAGUGCUUUGCCCUCGUGACUUUUUUUUUUCUUUUUCUUUUUUUAAUAAGUCUCAUCUUUGCCUUCGGAGAGGAAAGCUCUUUCUGGCCUCUAGCCACAACAGGUUCGAAGGUCCUACAUUGAGAUUAAGCGGAGCUUCUUCCCAACAGUGACGUUUGUUGGACCCCCAGAAACUGUAAGAUGCCUCUGUCCCGUUCGCUUUCCAUGACAUCCCUGACCGGGGUGCUGCCGGCCUGGGAGGAGGACGAGCUGCCUGUGGAGGACCUGCUGCUCUUCGAAGUCUCCUGGGAGGUCACCAACAAAGUUGGGGGAAUCUACACAGUCAUCCAGACCAAGGCUAAGAUCACUGUGGAUGAAUGGGGAGACAACUACUACAUGAUGGGACCAUACUUCGAGCACAACUUCAAGACUCAGGUGGAGAGCUGUGAGCCACCAAAUCCUGCCAUCAGGAAGGCCAUGGAUGCCCUCAUCCACAACGGCUGCCAGGUUCAUUUUGGUCGCUGGCUGAUUGAGGGCAGCCCCUACGUAAUCCUGUUUGACAUAGGCUCAGCAGCCUGGAACCUGGACCGCUGGAAAGGGGACCUUUGGGACACCUGCAACAUUGGUCUGCCCUUCCAUGACCGAGAAGCCAAUGACUCGCUCAUUUUGGGCUCCCUUAUUGCAUGGUUCUUCAAAGAGUUGACAGACCACCUUGGAGACAAACCUAAUGUCAUCAGUCACUUCCAUGAAUGGCAGGCAGGUCCUGGACUUAUUCUCUCUCGCUCACGCAAAAUUCCAAUGGCGACAGUAUUCACAACACAUGCCACCCUGCUGGGAAGAUACCUUUGUGCUGGGAACACUGACUUUUACAACAACCUGGACAAGUUUAACAUUGACAAGGAGGCUGGUGAGAGGCAGAUCUACCACCGAUACUGCUUAGAGAGAGCAGCAGUUCACUGUGCUCACGUCUUCACGACAGUCUCUCAGAUCACUGCUGUGGAGGCCAACCACAUGCUGCACAGGAAACCAGAUGUGGUCACCCCAAAUGGGCUGAAUGUGAAGAAGUUCUCAGCCAUGCAUGAGUUUCAAAACCUGCACUCCACCAACAAGGCCCAAAUCCAGGAGUUUAUCAGGGGACACUUCUAUGGUCACCUGGACUUCAACUUGGAUAAAACCCUCAUCUUCUUCAUUGCUGGGCGCUAUGAGUUCUCAAACAAAGGAGCAGAUAUUUUCCUUGAAUCACUGUCCAGACUGAACUAUCUGCUGCGGGUCCACCGAAACGAUGUGACGGUCGUAGUUUUCUUCAUCAUGCCAGCGAAAACUAACAACUUCAAUGUGGAGUCACUGAAGGGGCAGGCAGUACGUAAACAGCUUUGGGAUACAGCUCAUGCUGUUAAGGAGAAAUUUGGUAAAAAGCUGUAUGAUGCUCUGUUAAAAGGGCAGAUCCCUGAUCUCAACAACAUUUUGGACCGAGAUGACUUCACCAUUAUGAAGAGAGCCAUCUACGCCACACAGAGGCACAGCCUCCCUCCAGUAACCACUCACAACAUGCUGGACGACUCAGCAGAUCCCAUCCUGUCCAACAUCAGACGUGUUGGCCUCUUCAACUCCAGGAACGACCGUGUCAAGGUUGUUUUCCACCCGGAGUUCUUGUCCUCGACUAGUCCUCUGCUGCCAAUGGACUACGAGGAUUUUGUCCGUGGUUGUAACCUUGGAGUGUUCCCUUCCUACUAUGAACCAUGGGGCUACACACCUGGUGAGUGUACUGUAAUGGGCAUUCCUAGUGUGACCACCAAUUUGUCAGGUUUUGGUUGCUUCAUGGAGGAGCACGUGUCGGACCCUGCUGCAUAUGGUAUCUAUAUAGUGGACCGACGCUUCCGUUCUGCUGAGGAGUCCUGCAACCAGCUAACUCAGUUCAUGUUCAGUUUCUGCCAGCAGUCUCGGCGGCAGCGUAUCAUCCAGCGCAACCGAACUGAGAGGCUGUCUGACCUUCUGGACUGGAGAUACCUGGGACGGUUCUACAUACAUGCACGUCACCUGGCCCUUAGUAGAGCUUUCCCAGACAAGUUCAAGAUGGAUCCCAUGGCCCCUCUGAAGGACAAGAUGCCGCUGUGGUGCAGGAGUUGACAUCCAGAUACUUCUACAUUAAAAGGCUGAAUUGGAAGACCAACACAGAGGCUGUAUACAAGAAGGGGACGGAGGGUUUCCGGUAUCCCCGGCCCUACUCGGUUCCACCCUCUCCUUCUGCCUCUAUCCAUUCCACGCCCCACCACAGUGAUG